GCAACAUUACAGCACCUAGUCCAAGUGUUACACUGUUCUAUAGUCUCGUACCGCUUCAUCCUUUACCAAAAAGGAGGCAAGCACUCAAGUCUGGUUGAUGAGCCAGAACCUCUGGGCCAGAGCGUGAUUAACGGCUAGGAUGCUCCGGUCGGUGCCAUUCUCCAGCUGUAGAGGAUCGUUCCUGCUUGGCUGGCUUGUCCUAGUCAGGGUGGUUCAGAAGUUUUCUGACAGACU
This is a small nucleolar RNA of Panicum virgatum (switchgrass), 234 nucleotides long. RefSeq annotates it as small nucleolar RNA U3. Lineage: Eukaryota; Viridiplantae; Streptophyta; Magnoliopsida; Poales; Poaceae. The record is from RefSeq and is a predicted model, not a curated record. The transcript has a single exon.